CUACGGGAGGCUGCAGUGGGGAAUAUUGCACAAUGGGCGCAAGCCUGAUGCAGCCAUGCCGCGUGUAUGAAGAAGGCCUUCGGGUUGUAAAGUACUUUCAGCGGGGAGGAAGGGAGUAAAGUUAAUACCUUUGCUCAUUGACGUUACCCGCAGAAGAAGCAUCGGCGAACUCCGUGCCAGCAGCCGCGGUAAUACGGAGGGUGCAAGCGUUAAUCGGAAUUACUGGGCGUAAAGCGCACGCAGGCGGUUUGUUAAGUCAGAUGUGAAAUCCCCGGGCUCAACCUGGGAACUGCAUCUGAUACUGGCAAGCUUGAGUCUCGUAGAGGGGGGUAGAAUUCCAGGUGUAGCGGUGAAAUGCGUAGAGAUCUGGAGGAAUACCGGUGGCGAAGGCGGCCCCCUGGACGAAGACUGACGCUCAGGUGCGAAAGCGUGGGGAGCAAACAGGAUUAGAUACCCUAGUAGUC
RNAcentral lists this ribosomal RNA (464 nucleotides) under uncultured bacterium. RNAcentral describes it as "partial 16S ribosomal RNA". It matches the Rfam family "Bacterial small subunit ribosomal RNA", at positions 339 to 795 of the family's 1533-position model. The record is from RNAcentral.